ACGCUUGGCGAUGACAAUACUUGCAGGUUCUGGACGGAUCACUGGCUCCACGGCCAAUCCAUUGCCGAAAUUGCUCCCACCCUCGUGGCCUUGGUUCCACGUAGAAGGAAGCGCACGCGCCUUGUCUGCGACGGACUGCGCAACCAGGGUUGGAUAUCAGACAUCGCCGGCGCCAUUGGCCCGCUGGCAACCCUCGAGUAUGUCGACCUUUGGCGCCGCCUGCGGCUGGUUUCACUCUCACCCGCUCCGGACGCACUCUCUUGGCGUUGGUCCGCGACGGGAGUUUACACUGCCAGCUCCUGUUACUCCGCUAUGUUCGUUGGAUCGACUACCGCACCCUUUCGGAAGCUGUUCUGGCGUAGCUGCGCACCGCUCAACGUCAAGUUUUUCCUGUGGCUAGCUUCUCAAAACCAAUAUUUUAAAUAG
Molecule: ribosomal RNA, 426 nt
Filed under: Triticum aestivum (bread wheat)
Lineage: Eukaryota; Viridiplantae; Streptophyta; Magnoliopsida; Poales; Poaceae
Description: partial small subunit ribosomal RNA
Source: RNAcentral